Molecule: ribosomal RNA, 294 nt
Filed under: Triticum aestivum (bread wheat)
Lineage: Eukaryota; Viridiplantae; Streptophyta; Magnoliopsida; Poales; Poaceae
Description: partial small subunit ribosomal RNA
Source: RNAcentral
GGGCGGGCGGCCUUGGUGAAAUCGGUCCUCACCUCACAAGUCGUCUACCACAUCACCCCGCUCACAGUCCCCCCUGGUGUGCUGAAAAGCAUCAAUAAGAUUGAGCGGGCAUUUUUGUGGUCAGCUAGCGACACAGCUACAAGAGCAAAAUGCAAGGUCAAUUGGGAGACAGUCUGCCGCCCUACAUAGCUCGGUGGGCUUGGCAUACUCCACUUAGGGAAAUUUGCGAGAGCUCUCAGACUGAGAUGGCCCUGGAUGGCAUGGAAGAACCCGUCUAAGUUGUGGGUUGGCCUG